RNAcentral lists this ribosomal RNA (37 nucleotides) under Limacella sp. 'OR01'. RNAcentral's name for it is "Limacella sp. 'sp-OR01' partial 28S ribosomal RNA". The record is from RNAcentral. Lineage: Eukaryota; Fungi; Basidiomycota; Agaricomycetes; Agaricales; Amanitaceae.
UUUGACCUCAAAUCAGGUAGGAUUACCCGCUGAACUU